Molecule: transfer RNA, 73 nt
Filed under: Thermoanaerobaculaceae bacterium
Lineage: Bacteria; Pseudomonadati; Acidobacteriota; Thermoanaerobaculia; Thermoanaerobaculales; Thermoanaerobaculaceae
Also listed under: 1 other name
Description: tRNA-Lys
Rfam family: tRNA
About the family: Transfer RNA (tRNA) molecules are approximately 80 nucleotides in length. Their secondary structure includes four short double-helical elements and three loops (D, anti-codon, and T loops). Further hydrogen bonds mediate the characteristic L-shaped molecular structure. tRNAs have two regions of fundamental functional importance: the anti-codon, which is responsible for specific mRNA codon recognition, and the 3' end, to which the tRNAs corresponding amino acid is attached (by aminoacyl-tRNA synthetases). tRNAs cope with the degeneracy of the genetic code in two manners: having more than one tRNA (with a specific anti-codon) for a particular amino acid; and 'wobble' base-pairing, i.e. permitting non-standard base-pairing at the 3rd anti-codon position.
Source: RNAcentral
GGGCCGUUAGCUCAGCUGGCAGAGCAGCGGGCUUUUAACCCGAAGGUCGUGGGUUCGAUCCCCACACGGCCCA